UCUACCAACAUCAGCCGCCUUGAUGUUGAGAUUCUCCAUUUAGAUCAAUAUUUGAUAGUAAAAUCAACCAGACUCUUAAAGCUGGAUGGUAAUUAUACAUAUUGUAGACUCAUAGCUGCAGCUGAGGAUUAGUGAGUGUUAAUGAAGCAGCAAAGUGGCUGAGCUCACUUUAAAUAGGUGUUCAGUGAAUAAGUGUGUCAGUGCAUUUGAACAUUUCUAAUUAGCACAGUUACACUGAAUACAUUAUCAACUGCUCAUCAAUGUGUCCCUACAUGAGUUAUUUCAAUUACCAACAGUAACUACAGCCCCAAUGAGAGAGCACCACUGCUCAUGCACCACUUCAAAUCUUUAACAAUCUGUUCCAGAUCUUAUCUUUGCUUUUUUUGAACAUGUAAACAAAAAUCAUCACUCAUAGAAUAAUAACACAGUUUAAGACUGAACCUUUAACUGUGUUUUUUCUGCUGACUGUUAACGUGUCGCGUGUUUGUGUUCGUGUUCGUGUUCGAGUCUCUCUCACCCGGAUCUUGUCCAGCUCCCCUCGGGUGGCCGUCUGCUGUUUCUCCAGCCGCUCGCUCAGCUGGGAGCAGAUCUAUAGGAUGAGAGACAGGGUUCAGCUCCGUGCGCUCAUGCUGCUGCGUCAAUCGAGCCAGGACUCGACUGCAGCUACAGCACAGGGACAUGUUGGAACCACAACACAACAGGAAUCACACUGAAGCCUUCCCACCAUCUGUAACGCUGUGUGGGCUGCGACGUUCAAACCUCUGCUUUAGACGGUGGGGCUCAGGACGAGCUGGGUCCCUUCUGAGCGCUAACCUGUGCAGAUUCCUCCUCCAGCCGUCUCUUCUCGUCCUCAGACUCCACCAGCUUCUGUUUGGUCAGGAGCAACUCCUUAUUCAGAGCAUCGGCCUUCUCCUCCGCCUGAGAGAGAGAGAGACAGAGAGAGAGAAAGAGAGAGAGAGAAACACAGAGAGAGAGAGAGAGAGAGAGAGAGAGAGAGAUGACCCAAUGUUUAUGAGGCCAUCAAAGGUGAGACUCGCCCUACUUUCUUUUUACUUUCUCAUUUUCUACCUUUUUAGAUACAGUUUUAGAUACAGUAAGUCAUGGAAGUCUGCCUUCACACACAUUUAUUACAGUCUGUGCAAUUAGAUGUACACACAUCGUGCUACUCUUUACCUGCACAGCUGUCACAUAAACUUGCCCACCACACAGACCCGACCACUCUCAUGACACACGCUUUCUCUUACAUUGUCCAGGUCUUUGCGCAGCGCUAUCUUGCUGCUAACCAGCUCGUGGGCCAGGUCGUCGUUCUCCUGCUCCAGGCGCAUGUUGGUCUCCUGCAGACGACGGUUCUCCCGCUGGAAAGAGAACGACAGAAGGAAAAGGAGGACGCGAGCGGGGGAGGAAAAAAAAGAGGACAAUGACCGGACAAAGACAAAAUGGAAGAUCCGAGCAAAGAGAAGUGAAAUGGGCCUCCUGCUGCUCCUGCUGCUCUCUGAUGACGUGGUACUCCUUCUCAAACUUCUUCAGCUUCUUCUGGCUAAUCUGUUGGACAGUGGGAGAAGAAACACAAAGGCUCAGUAACGCUGCACGUGUGGCUGCACCUGCUCACGUGUGCUGAUGUGUAAAAUCUUUCCAAGGCUUAACUUCCUGCUGGCACAUGCUGUUUGUUUCUGCUUCUUCUCAGAGUGGGGUUCACACUGUGGAGCUCUGUGUGUGUGUGUGUGUGUGUGUGUGUGUGUGUGUGUGUGUGUGUGUGUGUGUGUGUGUGUGUGUGUGUGUGUGUGUGUGUGUGUGUGUGUGUGUGUACACGUUUACCUUCAGCAAAGCCAAGGCUACAUUGAAGAUCACACUGAUGCCCUGGAAAUCAAGAAAGAGACCUUGUUACCAAUUAAAAUUAGUGAGAAAUAUGUAAACUAACUGCAGCUGGUGUGUGCUGCCCGACUAUGUUUAUGGAAGGGGGCGUCCCAUUAGGACUUAGGACCAGCCAACAUAGACAUUCACAGAUGCACUGGUUGUCUGGACUCGGCCCACCUUGCUCUGUAGUUAAAGGUCAAUCUUCAUCUUAGUCUGUGGGUAUUUACGAUCAGCACAAGUCUGUGAAUAAAAUCUAAAUUUGGAACCUUCUCCCAAUUCCUGCUGUGAUGCCAGAUGCACCGUGCAUCACAAGUGCAAUGGCAUUACUAUGGUGACUAAUGGUACGUAAUUUACACCAGAUUUAGAGCCUUGUCUGUGUCUGAUAUUGUACAGUAUAUAGAGCAAAACUUAAUAAACAAAGUCAGUUAAAUCAAUUUAUUAAAUUGUAAGAAAUUAUAUAAAUUCCAAAAGCAAAUGUGAAAA
Long non-coding RNA from Betta splendens (Siamese fighting fish), 2337 nucleotides. RefSeq lists it as uncharacterized. The record is from RefSeq and is a predicted model, not a curated record. NCBI's taxonomy places the organism in Eukaryota, Metazoa, Chordata, Actinopteri, Anabantiformes, Osphronemidae. The transcript has 4 exons.